This 460-nucleotide ribosomal RNA is filed under the name uncultured bacterium. RNAcentral describes it as "partial 16S ribosomal RNA". It matches the Rfam family "Bacterial small subunit ribosomal RNA", at positions 338 to 795 of the family's 1533-position model. The record is from RNAcentral.
CCUACGGGGGGCAGCAGUGAGGAAUAUUGGUCAAUGGGCGCGAGCCUGAACCAGCCAAGUAGCGUGAAGGAUGACUGCCCUAUGGGUUGUAAACUUCUUUUAUAAAGGAAUAAAACGAGGCACGUGUGCCUUUUUGCAUGUAAUUUAUGAAUAAGGAUCGGCUAAAUCCGUGCCAGCAGCCGCGGUAAUACGGAGGAUCCGAGCGUUAUCCGGGUUUAUUUGGUUUAAAGGGAGCGUAGAUGGGUUGUUAAGUAAGUUGGGAAAGUUUGCGGCUCAACCGUAAAAUUGCAAUUGAUACUGGCAGUCUUGAGUACAGUUGAGGUAAGCGGAAUUCGUGGUGUAGCCGUGAAAUGCUUCGAUAUCACGAAGAACCCCGAUUGCGAAGGCAGCUUACUAAACUGUGACUGACAUUGAUGCUCGAAAGUGUCGGUAUCAAACCGGAUUAGAUACCCGGGUAGUC